GGGAUUCACUGGCUCACUUGGGGGAUGCUGUACCUCUGUCCUUCUUGCUUCCCAUAUGGCUCAUUGACUGGCAUGAACUCACCAGCCAUUGUUUCUUGUGUAGAAGGUGUUUCAUUGGAAGGACCUUGUAGAGCAUGUCCCCAGGAGCUGCCUUCCUAGCGGACUGGAGACUGGGUGUCCUCCAGGAGGGGUAAGUGUGAGAUGAUGCAGCAGACUACUACCUGAAGCAGAGAUGGCAAAGGCCAAGAAUUGAAUUUUGUGUGUGAUCACAGUCAUCUAACAAAUGACUAGUACCUUCUCGCACGUUCAGACAUUGCCCUCAUUGCAGAGAGGGUAAUCUCAACAGCUGUAUUCCUAUCUCUCUGUCACCAACUGAUAACUGAAAUGUACUCAAAUAGCUAGGCGAUGGCUUAGUAUAUUUGGGCACUUCCAAUCUUAUAAUGAAGAACAGCAGAGAGCUACACACAGAGAGCUCCUCUUCCUCCCUCCCUCCCACCCCCUUCUCUCUCCCUCUCCUUCCACUUACACCUGUUCCCAGUUCUUGUACCUUAUGGAAGCUCCAGGCUUACACAUUGCUAUACACUCUCUGUGUCUCCCCAUUAAUGCAUUUCUUCUGUGUAUAUAUGUACCUGUGUUCACAUUCUCCCGAUUUUUAAAGGCCACCGAUCAAUUUGAUUUGAGGACUACCCUUCAUGAUCUCAUUUUGCUUUAUAUCGCUGAGAUGAUCCAUUGUCCAGGUAAGUUCCCAUUUCCAGGUUCCGGGAGUGGGAGCCUGCCUGCAAAUUGUAUUUGGAGGAGGACAGGGGAAGUCACUACAGGUUAUGUAUCAGUUGGAGUCCUGAGUGAGAGUCACUGGAGCCAUCUACUGAAAGGCUGCAAAUAGAGUAUCCAUGGGAUAAACAAUUAUUUUUAAGACAGGCCGUUUAUAUGGAAUGCUUUGAACUUGAACCCAGGGCCUCUAGACUUACGCAGUUUUUGGUCCCAGGAGUAACUGGCUUGUUGGUUGAUCAUAAGCUUUGCAUGCUAGCCUUACUCUUUCAAGGUUUUUAUUAGUCUUUUCUUUUUUUUUCUUUUUAAAAAAGUCCAUUUUAAUUGGAGAUUUUGACAUUGACAUUAUUCGGGUUGGGAAGAGCCUGAGGCAACAUAAAGUAAUUGUCUUUUAUCAGAAGAGUUCAGGAGGACACUGGGUGAUCUCCAUCAACUCUGAAAACACGGAGUCCUUCCUGAAAUACCUUCACAGUGAAAAGGACUACUUGUCAGAUGUCGAGGCCGGGAACCGGUUUGGAGAUUCUUGUGUGAUCGUUUGAGGGUGUAUGGACAUCCACAGAGUGUCACUGCUUAGCCAGUGUGGUCCAUCUUGUUAGACCAUGACUGUGCAUGCAUGGCCAGUCAGAAGCCUCUCAGGAGGUGACAUACAUGCUGGCAACACUGGGGAAUGGGCCACACAUGUCCUGGGUCACUCAUUCUCUUGACUUCCUUUACUAUGUUUUAUCUUUCAUCGUUCUAACAAAAUAUAUGAAUCUGGGUGCUGUA
Molecule: long non-coding RNA, 1533 nt
Filed under: Mus musculus (house mouse)
Lineage: Eukaryota; Metazoa; Chordata; Mammalia; Rodentia; Muridae
Description: RIKEN cDNA 4933436H12 gene (4933436H12Rik)
Source: RNAcentral